This 372-nucleotide ribosomal RNA is filed under the name uncultured bacterium. RNAcentral's name for it is "bacterial SSU rRNA". It matches the Rfam family "Bacterial small subunit ribosomal RNA", at positions 29 to 396 of the family's 1533-position model. The record is from RNAcentral.
AUUGAACGCUGGCGGAAUGCUUUACACAUGCAAGUCGAGCGGCAGCGCGGGGCAACCUGGCGGCGAGCGGCGAACGGGUGAGUAAUACAUCGGAACGUACCCAGUUGUGGGGGAUAGCCCGGCGAAAGCCGGAUUAAUACCGCAUACGACCUGAGGGUGAAAGGGGGGGAGUCGCAAGACCUCUCGCAGUUGGAGCGGCCGAUGGCGGAUUAGCUAGUUGGUGAGGUAAAGGCUCACCAAGGCGACGAUCCGUAGCUGGUCUGAGAGGACGACCAGCACACUGGAACUGAGACACGGUCCGAGACUCCUACGGGAGGGCAGCAGUGGGGGAAGUUUUAGGUACAAUGGGGGCGAACCCUCGAUCCAGCCAUU